This 269-nucleotide ribosomal RNA is filed under the name uncultured bacterium. Its description in RNAcentral is "partial 16S ribosomal RNA". It matches the Rfam family "Bacterial small subunit ribosomal RNA", at positions 524 to 792 of the family's 1533-position model. The record is from RNAcentral.
UACGGAGGGUGCAAGCGUUGUUCGGAAUUAUUGGGCGUAAAGGGCGCGUAGGUGGUUGUGAUAGUCAGAUGUGAAAUCCUUCGGCUCAACCGAAGAACUGCAUCUGAAACUUCAUAGCUCGAGUACAGGAGAGGGAAACGGAAUUCCCGGUGUAGAGGUGAAAUUCGUAGAUAUCGGGAGGAACACCAGUGGCGAAGGCGGUUUCCUGGCCUGAUACUGACGCUGAGGCGCGAAAGCGUGGGGAGCAAACAGGAUUAGAAACCCCAUCC